AUUUGUCUCUGGGGUUACCUUCACAGAAUGGCUCCUGAAGGCAGGCAGGGAAAUCCUGGCACAACUCUUACUUCAGCCGGAGCACCUCCUGGUCUAGCUCUUUAAUACAUUGAGGUGCAAAUGAGAUUUCACUUAGAAAUAGUUCCAUUGUAAAAAUUAAAUAAGACAGAAGACGACUCUGAAAACUGGGCAGAAGGUGGCAGACUGGAUAGGGAACUGUGCCCUGAAUGAUGACAUGGCUAUGAGUUUCCUGGGUUGUCUUUUAUUUUGCAUCAGACAACUCAGACUAAGUGCUGGUGAAGCCAGCUAACUGGAAAUACCGAAAGGCACAAACAAGCCAAGCAACAUCAAAAGACUUUCUCCAGUCAAAGCAGUGUUCAGGCAAAACCAGAAAAUGUUUAGCCAAUAAUGGCACUCCUGCAGCCACUCUGACUCCUCACUUCCAUGUUGUAACAAGGAGUGCCAGCCUCCCCCAACCCACCAGGGUGCUGUCUGAGAAGGCCAAGUGAGGAACUGAAACUUUUAUCCCUGCUGGGCAGUAACAAGCUCCAAUCCCUAUCAGUAUCAGAGUAAAUCAUAUGGGGGAACCUGGACUUCCACCCAAACCCAGUAAGGAGGCACACCUUCUCUCCCU
Molecule: long non-coding RNA, 634 nt
Filed under: Pan troglodytes (chimpanzee)
Lineage: Eukaryota; Metazoa; Chordata; Mammalia; Primates; Hominidae
Description: long non-coding RNA NONPTRT013791
Source: RNAcentral